This 255-nucleotide unclassified non-coding RNA is filed under the name Capnodiales sp. Its description in RNAcentral is "partial contains 5.8S ribosomal RNA, internal transcribed spacer 2, and large subunit ribosomal RNA". The record is from RNAcentral. Lineage: Eukaryota; Fungi; Ascomycota; Dothideomycetes; Capnodiales.
CGCACAUUGCGCCCUUUGGCAUUCCGAGGGGCAUGCCCGUUCGAGCGUCAUUAAAUCCAAUCAAGCCCGGCUUGGUAUUGGGCGUCGGGGUCCCCCGCGCCUCAAUUUCACCGGCUGGCCGUCGCCCGUCUUAGCGUUGUGACACACUUCUCGCUGACGAUGGGAGCGGACCACGCCGACACAAUUCCAAUGACUUUCAGUCGAAAUUCGAUUAAGGUUGACCUCGGAUCGGGUAGGAAUACCCGCUGAACUUAA